RNAcentral lists this ribosomal RNA (940 nucleotides) under uncultured archaeon. RNAcentral describes it as "bacterial SSU rRNA". It matches the Rfam family "Archaeal small subunit ribosomal RNA", at positions 86 to 987 of the family's 1478-position model. The record is from RNAcentral.
UGGCUCAGUAACACGUGGAGAAUCUAACCUUUGGUGGAGGAUAAUCUCGAGAAACUGAGAAUAAUACUCCAUAAACAUAGGAUGCUGGAAUGCUUCUAUGUUGAAAGGCAACGCCAAAGGAUGACUCUGCGACCUAUCAGGCUGUAGUGAGUGUAAUGGACCCACUAACCUGCAACGGGUACGGGUGUUGGAAGACAUUGCCCGGAGAUGGACUCUGAGACAUGAGUCCAGGUUCUACGGAACGCAGCAGGCGCGAAAACUCCGCAAUGUACGAAAGUACGACGGGGGAAUUCUGAGUGCUUACGCCUUGCGUAGGCUGUUUUCUUGUCUAAAAAACAAGGAGAGUAAGGGCUGGGUAAGACGGGUGCCAUCUCGUGCAAUUCUGCACUUAUUGUGUUCGUUGCACGAAGCACAAGCCGCCGCGGUAAUACCCGCGGCCCGAGUGGUGCUCAUUAUUAUUGAGCCUAAAACGUCCGUAGCCGGUUUAAUAAAUUCUUGGGUAAAUCAUAUCGCUUAACGAUAUGAAUUCUGAGAACACUGCUAAACUCGGGAAUGAGAGAGGCCAGAGGUACUUUCAGGGUAGGGGUAAAAUCCCGUAAUCCUGAGAGGACCACCGGUGGCGAAGGCGUCUGGCUAGAACAUAUUCGACGGUAAGGGACGAAGCCCUGGGGCGCAAACGGGAUUAGAUACCCCGGUAGUCCAGGGUGUAAACGCUGUAGAUUUGGUGUUGGAAAUCCUACGGGGAUUCCCAGCGCCGGAGAGAAGUUGUUAAAUCUACUGCUUGGGGAGUACGGUCGCAAGACUGAAACUUAAAGGAAUUGGCGGGGGAGCACCGCAACGGGUGGAGCGUGCGGUUUAAUUGGAUUCACGCCGAGAAACUCACCGGGGGCGACCAUUAUAUGAAGGCCAAGCCAAUGACUUUGCCUAAUUUUUGGAGAGG